CUGAAGAGGAGAAUCAACGGCGAAGAUGAAACGAAGAGGGACAAUGGCAAUUGGGUUAUGGAGCAAAAUGGGUUUGAAUUUGAUGGAGCGGAAGUAACACCACAUGGUUGAUACUUGAAGGUACCAGGUUGAAGAAAGAUAUAGGUCUGUUCCUUACACAAGGAAAAUUGCCAUUGCCGCCGAAAACCCAGUGUGAAGGUUCUGGUUCGG
RNAcentral lists this unclassified non-coding RNA (210 nucleotides) under Hevea brasiliensis (rubber tree). Lineage: Eukaryota; Viridiplantae; Streptophyta; Magnoliopsida; Malpighiales; Euphorbiaceae. The record is from RNAcentral.